UGUUUAAAAAUUCAUCCAUUCUAUUGUUAAAAAUUGGUGUGGCUAACAAAACAACUAAACAAUUAUAUGUAGCGUGCCAUAUAUACCUCACGCUAAUAUUUAAGGACCAAUUUUUAACAGUAAAAAUGGAUAAAUUUUUAACA
MicroRNA precursor from Gossypium arboreum, 143 nucleotides. It matches the Rfam family "MIR7502 microRNA precursor family". NCBI's taxonomy places the organism in Eukaryota, Viridiplantae, Streptophyta, Magnoliopsida, Malvales, Malvaceae. The record is from Rfam.